RNAcentral lists this ribosomal RNA (553 nucleotides) under Vreelandella aquamarina. RNAcentral describes it as "bacterial SSU rRNA". It matches the Rfam family "Bacterial small subunit ribosomal RNA", at positions 87 to 642 of the family's 1533-position model. Lineage: Bacteria; Pseudomonadati; Pseudomonadota; Gammaproteobacteria; Oceanospirillales; Halomonadaceae. The record is from RNAcentral.
GCUGACGAGCGGCGGACGGGUGAGUAAUGCAUAGGAAUCUGCCCGAUAGUGGGGGAUAACCUGGGGAAACCCAGGCUAAUACCGCAUACGUCCUACGGGAGAAAGGGGGCUCCGGCUCCCGCUAUGGGAUGAGCCUAUGUCGGAUUAGCUAGUUGGUGAGGUAACGGCUCACCAAGGCCACGAUCCGUAGCUGGUCUGAGAGGAUGAUCAGCCACAUCGGGACUGAGACACGGCCCGAACUCCUACGGGAGGCAGCAGUGGGGAAUAUUGGACAAUGGGGGAAACCCUGAUCCAGCCAUGCCGCGUGUGUGAAGAAGGCCCUCGGGUUGUAAAGCACUUUCAGCGAGGAAGAACGCCUAGCGGUUAAUACCCGUCAGGAAAGACAUCACUCGCAGAAGAAGCACCGGCUAACUCCGUGCCAGCAGCCGCGGUAAUACGGAGGGUGCAAGCGUUAAUCGGAAUUACUGGGCGUAAAGCGCGCGUAGGUGGCUUGAUAAGCCGGUUGUGAAAGCCCCGGGCUCAACCUGGGAACGGCAUCCGGAACUGUCAAGCU